This 254-nucleotide ribosomal RNA is filed under the name uncultured bacterium. Its description in RNAcentral is "partial 16S ribosomal RNA". It matches the Rfam family "Bacterial small subunit ribosomal RNA", at positions 524 to 776 of the family's 1533-position model. The record is from RNAcentral.
UACGGGGGGAGCAAGCGUUGUUCGGAUUUACUGGGCGUAAAGGGCGCGUAGGCGGUCAGCACAAGUCAGUUGUGAAAUCUCCGAGCUUAACUCGGAAAGGUCAACUGAUACUGUGCGACUAGAGUGCGGAAGGGGCAACUGGAAUUCUUGGUGUAGCGGUGAAAUGCGUAGAUAUCAAGAGGAACACCUGCGGCGAAGGCGGGUUGCUGGGCCGACACUGACGCUGAGGCGCGAAAGCCAGGGGAGCGAAUGGG